Molecule: small RNA, 310 nt
Filed under: uncultured bacterium
Lineage: Bacteria
Description: bacterial SSU rRNA
Rfam family: Bacterial small subunit ribosomal RNA
Source: RNAcentral
GAAAGGGGGGGGCAACCCUCCUGAGUAGAGCGGCGCACGGGUGAGUAACGCGUGGGUAACCUACCCCUCGGCGGGGGAUAACUACUCGAAAGGGUGGCUAAUACCGCAUGAGACCACGGGGUCUUCGGAUCCUGAGGCCAAAGGCCGCGUCGGCUUGCCGGCGCAGUCACCGGGGGAUGGGCCCGCGUCCGAUUAGCUAGUUGGCGAGGUAACGGCUCACCAAGGCAAUGAUGGGUAGCCGGCCUGAGAGGGUGUACGGCCACACUGGAACUGACUCACGGUCCAGACGAAUACGGGAGGCAGCAUUGUG